AAAGUCGUAACAAGGUUUCCGUAGGUGAACCUGCGGAAGGAUCAUUACCUGGCCUAGGCCGCCGUCUCGGCGUGCCGCCCGUGCCUAUUACCUUGACUAAGCGUACCUUUGUUGUUCCCUCGGCAGUUCGCUGCCGCCAGGGACCCUAAAAGCCCUUAUGUAUCAGCAGUAAACUUCUGAAUCAAACCUAAUAAUAUUACAACUUUCAACAAUGGAUCUCUUGGUUCUG
RNAcentral lists this unclassified non-coding RNA (229 nucleotides) under Ascomycota sp. RNAcentral's name for it is "partial contains small subunit ribosomal RNA, internal transcribed spacer 1, and 5.8S ribosomal RNA". The stretch from base 1 to 47 matches the Rfam family "Eukaryotic small subunit ribosomal RNA", at positions 1785 to 1831 of the family's 1831-position model. The record is from RNAcentral. Lineage: Eukaryota; Fungi; Ascomycota.